This 915-nucleotide ribosomal RNA is filed under the name Methanosaeta sp. enrichment culture clone AB12. RNAcentral's name for it is "bacterial SSU rRNA". It matches the Rfam family "Archaeal small subunit ribosomal RNA", at positions 1 to 922 of the family's 1478-position model. RNAcentral also lists the same sequence under 1 other name. Lineage: Archaea; Methanobacteriati; Methanobacteriota; Methanomicrobia; Methanotrichales; Methanotrichaceae. The record is from RNAcentral.
UUCCGGUUGAUCCUGCCGGAGGUUACUGCUAUCGAGGUUCGACUAAGCCAUGCGAGUCGAAUGUAGCAAUACAUGGCGAACUGCUCAGUAACACGUGGACAACCUGCCCUUAGGACGGGGAUAAACCCGGGAAACUGGGUAUAAUACCCGAUAGGUCUCGAUUGCUGGAAUGCAUCGAGAUUUAAAGCUCCGGCGCCUAAGGAUGGGUCUGCGGCCUAUCAGGUAGUAGUGGGUGUAGCGUACCUACUAGCCUACGACGGGUACGGGUUGUGAGAGCAAGAGCCCGGAGAUGGAUUCUGAGACACGAAUCCAGGCCCUACGGGGUGCAGCAGGCGCGAAAACUUUACAAUGCUGGCAACAGCGAUAAGGGAACCUCGAGUGCCAGGUUACAAAUCUGGCUGUCGAGAUGCCUAAAAAGCAUUUCAUAGCAAGGGCCGGGCAAGACCGGUGCCAGCCGCCGCGGUAACACCGGCGGCUCGAGUGGUAACCGUUAUUAUUGGGUCUAAAGGGUCUGUAGCCGGCCGGAUAAGUCUCUUGAGAAAUCUGGCAGCUUAACUGUCAGGCUUUCAGGAGAUACUGUCUGGCUCGAGGCCGGGAGAGGUGAGAGGUACUUCAGGGGUAGGGGUGAAAUCUUGUAAUCCUUGAAGGACCACCAGUGGCGAAGGCGUCUCACCAGAACGGACCUGACGGCAAGGGACGAAAGCUAGGGGCACGAACCGGAUUAGAUACCCGGGUAGUCCUAGCCGUAAACGAUACUCGCUAGGUGUCGGCCACGGUGCGACCGUUGUCGGUGCCGUAGGGAAGCCGUGAAGCGAGCCACCUGGGAAGUACGGCCGCAAGGCUGAAACUUAAAGGAAUUGGCGGGGGAGCACCACAACGGGUGGAGCUUGCGGUUUAAUUGGAUUCAACGCCGGA